UGCCUUUCCGGCUCAUUUUUAUAUUCUUCGCCAAGUAGGUAGCAGCGAGCGCUACAUACCUAAUUGGCACCCAGGAGAAGGGCGUGGCCCUAGCUUUUACACCAUCUGUUUUGGCCCAGAGGAUAUAAUGCCCCCAGAAAGUAAAUCAAGUAAAUGGUAAAUAGCAGCUCCUCAAGACCCAUGGGUUUGACGAACAUUUAGACAACUCCGGAGGCAACAACCGAUCCACCAGUACAUCAGACCAGUACAUCAAAACCUGACGCCUCCCGAAGAAGAUCAUGAGGUGUGGAUAACCUAGGACAGCACCGGAAGAAGCCUUCACACCACAAGUUAAGUCUUCCUUAGAAUCUUAUAUUUGCCUGUCAGCAGAGACAGUUUUUUUAUAUAAAUUAACUUCAUAAUAACUUCACAAUGAUGUAGAUCCUAAAUUAUAACCAAAGAAAUGAGAAAAUAAAGCAUUUAUACCGAAA
Long non-coding RNA from Diabrotica virgifera virgifera (western corn rootworm), 470 nucleotides. RefSeq lists it as uncharacterized. The record is from RefSeq and is a predicted model, not a curated record. Lineage: Eukaryota; Metazoa; Arthropoda; Insecta; Coleoptera; Chrysomelidae. The transcript has 2 exons.